CUUGACCCUGAUUUUCUGGAGCAGUACGACAGCCGGCCAGACCUGUACUCGACGGGGUCGAGUUUUUCUCACCCGGGAGGAGUUGAUGGGGACAUCAGAGCCCUUCAUCCAGAUGAUCAUGAGCCCCCGGAUUGAGCCAGACUCGUUUAUUUGCAUAUUUAUUUUAUUAUUUUAUUUUUGGGCUUAUUUGCAUUCUAGGGUUUAUUUGUGGUUUAUUUUAUUUCUGGGCUUAUUUGUAUUUUGGGGCUUAUUUGUGUUAUUUGUGGGUUCAUUAGGAUUUAUUUCUGUGUAAGGAGGGUUUAUGCAAGUUGCGUAUUUGGGCCCUAUAUAUAGGGAACUAUUUUCAUGAUUAGGGUUUAAUGAAUGAUUAAGAAUUUCUUUUCCUCCCAGAUCUUAUUCUUCCUCCUCCUCCUCCCCUUCUCUUCUUCCUGUGUCUCUAGAACCUCUUCUUCCUUCUUCCUCUCUUGUUCUUCCUUCUUCUCCUCUUUUUCCGCAUUUGUGCGGCAUCAU
This 510-nucleotide long non-coding RNA is filed under the name Phoenix dactylifera (date palm). Its description in RNAcentral is "long non-coding RNA (PDAC_LNC022574)". The record is from RNAcentral. Lineage: Eukaryota; Viridiplantae; Streptophyta; Magnoliopsida; Arecales; Arecaceae.